Molecule: ribosomal RNA, 450 nt
Filed under: uncultured bacterium
Lineage: Bacteria
Description: partial 16S ribosomal RNA
Rfam family: Bacterial small subunit ribosomal RNA
Source: RNAcentral
GUGGGGAAUUUUGGACAAUGGGCGAAAGCCUGAUCCAGCCAUGCCGCGUGCAGGAUGAAGGCCUUCGGGUUGUAAACUGCUUUUGUACGGAACGAAAAGACUCCUUCUAAUAAAGGGGGUCCAUGACGGUACCGUAAGAAUAAGCACCGGCUAACUACGUGCCAGCAGCCGCGGUAAUACGUAGGGUGCAAGCGUUAAUCGGAAUUACUGGGCGUAAAGCGUGCGCAGGCGGUUAUAUAAGACAGAUGUGAAAUCCCCGGGCUCAACCUGGGAACUGCAUUUGUGAAUGUAUAGCUAGAGUACGGUAGAGGGGGAUGGAAUUCCGCGUGUAGCAGUGAAAUGCGUAGAUAUGCGGAGGAACACCGAUGGCGAAGGCAAUCCCCUGGACCUGUACUGACGCUCAUGCACGAAAGCGUGGGGAGCAAACAGGAUUAGAUACCCUGGUAGUCC